Molecule: long non-coding RNA, 974 nt
Organism: Brassica napus (rape)
Lineage: Eukaryota; Viridiplantae; Streptophyta; Magnoliopsida; Brassicales; Brassicaceae
Exons: 6
Source: RefSeq, a predicted model, not a curated record
CCUUUUAAUACACAUAAGCCAAAAUUAGGGUUUUCUCUCUACGCCAUCAAGCGAUGAUCGUCUGCUUUCUCUGUCAUCUUCUAUGGUGUUUCCAGAGAUUGUCUGACACAAAUCGACAUGAAAAAUCUCUCUGUUGCCUUGCAGUCGCGUCGAUUUGUCUUCUCUUUUAGUAAUCCGAAAUGCUAUGAGUUACAGAUCCAACGAAUUUGUCGCUUUCUUAACUCCAUAGACCGAUGUGAAGCAUGAUCUUUCAUUGAAUGAGAGAUAUCAUCCAGAACUAUAUAAAGACUGCGAAAAGCUGUCACCGACCGAUGAGCAGACCAAGAGUUUUACGAAGCCUUCUGUCUCAUCGACAACUCAGAUGGGUUCAUCACGAAGGAGAAGCUAAAGAAAGUGAUGAAAUCGAUGGGGAAGAAUCCAAGGGGAGAACUUUGGGAAAUUAUGAUCGAUGUCAACGUUGAUGGCAAUUUAGGCAUCUAUAUAAUGGCUCAAAACACCUCUCAGGACUCGGCAUGGGAUGAUACUAAUAGAAAUAUUCAGUGUGUUCGAAGGGAAAGUUUCAUCUCGACACUUGAGGGAAGCUUGAAGAUCUUCAACCACCAUCCCUACUUCAAAUGGAGUUACAAAACAUAGACAGAUUCUCAGAGAGUAGGCGUCCACAGGUGCAUCAGGAGGUGCUGACGGUGAGAGAUCAGCUGGAGAGAUCCAGGAUUGUCGAGUUGAGGUGCGAGGAGACGGAACCAGAGAUUCACGACGAAGAACAAGAUAGACAAACUUACAAGUGAAGACAUUGGUUUUUGUUUCUACAUACGCAUUUUCAUCUAAUUAACAGGUUUCCUAUUUAUUAUUAUAUGCUUCGUGAAAGCACUAUGUUAUUUGAUCUAGAAUAAAAUGUAAUUUAUGUCAAUUUGCUCGGAAUAAUGAACAUGUUUUUAAGCGAGAUUUUAUUUUUGAGGAAACAACAGUUGUAGCUA